AAUACGAGUUACGAUUUGGUUUUCCUCCCACCGAAGACGACAUAACCAUGUUUUCCCUACUUUGUUGAUGCUUUUCACGACAACCCAUUUCGUUGUGCCACUAAGGAUUAAAUGACGGCCUGACCCGGGAUGGCAAAUCCAAAAUCGAUCACAGAUCACCAAUACCACACGUACACAAUAACAACGAUCCGGCCGAUAAAUUGAAACAGAAUGAAGUUACACAAAUGCACGAGAGAUUGAGUUCAAAAGAUUCAAAGUGAUUUGUUUAUUUGGGCUCGUCUUUACUCUCUGACCCCGUAGAAGCGAUCAGAAAGAAUUGGUGAAGUUAUAGUCUAAAGAAAUUUUUCUUUUGUUACUUCUUCGCCUUAUCAGUUUUGACACACUUCAUCGAUUUUCCACCUAUUUUUACUUUUGAAGUUGCCCAUGAAGGAACUCGAGAAAAUAACAAUCCAGAGUAGAUUUUGGCAGAACUCGGCGAUUUUCUUCUUACGUUACUUUACUUGCAGCCACGAUGCAACAGGUUUUUGAUCCAUUCGACUAACAUCUGGCUUUCUCUUCUAUUUGAGUUUCUUCCAACACGUACCCGGCUUCGGACAUGGUAACGCUUGUAUAAAGUACUGCACUGUUAAGUACUGAGAUGCGGAUGAUCGAUAAAAGUGAAACGGCAAAAUUAUGAGAAACAAAUAAACACGAAUCUAUACAUAAGCCAAGUUACAUGAGGAUUGACGAUUGUUUUCCAAUAGUGAGUUUACAAUCUAAAGCAAUGCCAUGGCGAAAUGUCAUGUUUUGUUAACUGAAACAAGAUAAUCCCGUUGCCUGAAGCUAUAAAGAAAUCACUUUUAAAGAUAAUCUUUUGAAUACGGGAGUAAUCCGCGUUUUAAACAAUGCCACAGGACCGUAUAGUCCGGAGGUGUGUCGUUACCUGGGAAGGUGUAGUGACGUUCGGAGACGAUGUUGGACAUUUGCAAACUUUUCCG
Molecule: long non-coding RNA, 977 nt
Organism: Cimex lectularius (bed bug)
Lineage: Eukaryota; Metazoa; Arthropoda; Insecta; Hemiptera; Cimicidae
Exons: 3
Source: RefSeq, a predicted model, not a curated record